CCUACUGGUGACAUCAUUGAGGCAUCUUGGUCAAUGGCCGAGAGGCUGAACCAGCCGAGUCGCGUGAGGUCCUCCUUUCCUCUUUCUUUUCCCCCUCUUUUUUCCUUUCUCCCAGUCACCCACGUGUGGGUGUUGGAGAGUACCUGAAGAAAAAGCAUCGGCUAACUCCGUGCCAGCAGCCGCGGUAAUACGUAGGAUGCGAGCGUUAUCCGGAUUUAUUGGGUUUAAAGGGUGCGUAGGCGGGUUAUCAAGUCAGCGGUAAAAUCGUGGAGCUCAACUCCAUCCAGCCGUUGAAACUGAUGAUCUUGAGUGGGCGAGAAGUAUGCGGAAUGCGUGGUGUAGCGGUGAAAUGCAUAGAUAUCACGCAGAACUCCGAUUGCGAAGGCAGCAUACCGGCGCCCGACUGACGCUGAAGCACGAAAGCGUGGGUAUCGAACAGGAUUAGAGAAAAUGGUAGUC
Molecule: ribosomal RNA, 459 nt
Filed under: uncultured bacterium
Lineage: Bacteria
Description: partial 16S ribosomal RNA
Rfam family: Bacterial small subunit ribosomal RNA
Source: RNAcentral